This 468-nucleotide ribosomal RNA is filed under the name uncultured bacterium. RNAcentral describes it as "partial 16S ribosomal RNA". It matches the Rfam family "Bacterial small subunit ribosomal RNA", at positions 28 to 507 of the family's 1533-position model. The record is from RNAcentral.
GACGAACGCUGGCGGUGUGCUUAACACAUGCAAGUCGAACGGCAAGGCCCUGCUUUCGUGGGGUGCCCGGGGGGCGAACGGGUGAGUAACACGUGAGUAACCUGCCCUUGACUUUGGGAUAACUUCAGGAAACUGGGGCUAAUACCGGAUAGGAUCUCCCGCUGCAUGGUGGGGGUUGGAACGUUUCGGCGGUUGGGGUUGGAUUGGCGGCUUAUGAGCUUGUUGGUUGGGUAGGGGCUUACCAAGGCUUUGAAGGGUAGCCGGCAUGGGUGGGUGACCGGCGACAUGGGGACUGAGGUACGGCCCAGACUCGUACGGGAGGCAGCGGGGGCGAAUAUUGCACAAUGGGCGGAAGCCUGAGGCAGCGACGCCGCGUGCGGAAUGACGGCCUUCGGGUAGUGAAACGCUUUAGCUUGUGACGAAGCGUGAGUGACGGUAAUGGAAAAAGAAGCACCGGCUAACUACGUG